Molecule: ribosomal RNA, 2467 nt
Filed under: human gut metagenome
Description: bacterial LSU rRNA
Rfam family: Bacterial large subunit ribosomal RNA
Source: RNAcentral
AGUGCAUGUGGUGGAUGCCUUGGCAGUCAGAGGCGAUGAAAGACGUAAUAGCCUGCGAUAAGCUUCGGGGAGGCGGCAAAUAUCCUGUGAUCCGGAGAUUUCUGAAUGGGGAAACCCACUUACCAUAAGGUAGGUAUCGCAUGAUGAAUACAUAGUCAUGCGAGGCGAACGAGGGGAAGUGAAACAUCUCAGUACCCUUAGGAAAAGAAAUCAAUUGAGAUUCCCUCAGUAGCGGCGAGCGAACGGGGAUCAGCCCAUUAAGUUAUAUGUGUUUUAGCGGAAAGCUCUGGGAAGUGCUACCGUAGAGGGUGAUAGUCCCGUACACGAAAGGGCACAUAUAAUGAUGACGAGUAGGGCGAGGCACGUGAAACCUUGUCUGAAUAUGGGGGGACCAUCCUCCAAGGCUAAAUACUCCUGACUGACCGAUAGUGAACCAGUACCGUGAGGGAAAGGCGAAAAGAACCCCUGUGAGGGGAGUGAAAUAGAUCCUGAAACCGCAUGCAUACAAGCAGUGGGAGCCAACUUGUUUGGUGACUGCGUACCUUUUGUAUAAUGGGUCAGCGACUUAUAUUCAGUAGCAAGGUUAACCGCAUAGGGGAGCCGUAGAGAAAUCGAGUCUUAAUAGGGCGUUUAGUUGCUGGGUAUAGACCCGAAACCGGGUGAUCUAUCCAUGAGCAGGUUGAAGGUUGGGUAACACUAACUGGAGGACCGAACCCACUGUCGUUGAAAAGCCAGGGGAUGACUUGUGGAUAGGGGUGAAAGGCUAAUCAAACUCGGUGAUAGCUGGUUCUCCCCGAAAGCUAUUUAGGUAGCGCCUCGGACGAAUACCAUAGGGGGUAGAGCACUGUUUCGGCUAGGGGGUCAUCCCGACUUACCAAACCGAUGCAAACUCCGAAUACCUAUGAGUACUAUCCGGGAGACAGACUGCGGGUGCUAACGUCCGUAGUCAAGAGGAAAACAAUCCAGACCGCCAGCUAAGGCCCCCAAAUUAUAGUUAAGUGGGAAACGAUGUGGGAAGGCAUAGACAGCUAGGAGGUUGGCUUAGAAGCAGCCACCCUUUAAAGAAAGCGUAAUAGCUCACUAGUCGAGUCGGCCUGCGCGGAAGAUGUAACGGGGCUAAAACUAUAUGCCGAAGCUGCGGAUGUAUACUAUGUAUACGUGGUAGGGGAGCGUUCUGUAAGCCGAUGAAGGUGUAUUGAGAAGUAUGCUGGAGGUAUCAGAAGUGCGAAUGCUGACGUGAGUAACGACAAAACGGGUGAAAAACCCGUUCGCUGAAAGACCAAGGGUUCCAGUCCAACGUUAAUCGGGGCUGGGUGAGUCGACCCCUAAGGCGAGGCCGAGAGGCGUAGUCGAUGGGAAAUUGGUUAAUAUUCCAAUACUUCUGUGUAAUGCGAUGAGAGGACGGAGAAAGUUAAGUCAGCCUGGCGUUGGUUGUCCAGGUGAAAGGCAGUAGGCAUGCAUCUUAGGCAAAUCCGGGGUGCUCUAUGCUGAGAGCUGAUAGCAAGCUAGUUUACUAGCGAAGUGGCUGAUACUAUGCUUCCAGGAAAAGUCUCUAAGCUUCAGUUACACAGGAAUCGUACCCUAAACCGACACAGGUGGUCAGGUCGAGUAGACCAAAGCGCUUGAGAGAACUCUGCUGAAGGAACUAGGCAAAAUGGUACCGUAACUUCGGGAGAAGGUACGCUGCUGACGGUGAUAGGACUUGCUCCUUGAGCUAUUGGCAGCCACAGAAACCAGGCCCCUGCAACUGUUUAUUAAAAACAUAGCACUCUGCAAACACGAAAGUGGACGUAUAGGGUGUGAUGCCUGCCCGGUGCUGGAAGGUUAAUUGAUGGGGUUAGCGUAAGCGAAGCUCUUGAUCGAAGCCCCAGUAAACGGCGGCCGUAACUAUAACGGUCCUAAGGUAGCGAAAUUCCUUGUCGGGUAAGUUCCGACCUGCACGAAUGGCAUAAUGAUGGGGGCGCUGUCUCCAGCAGAGGCUCAGUGAAAUCGAAAUCGCCGUGAAGAUGCGGUGUACCCGCGGCUAGACGGAAAGACCCCGUGAACCUUUACUGCAGCUUGACAUUGAACUUUGAUCUUACUUGUGUAGGAUAGGUGGGAGGCUUUGAAGUAGUGACGCCAGUUGCUAUGGAGCCAUCCUUGAAAUACCACCCUGGUAAUAUUGAGGUUCUAACUCUGUCCCGUUAUCCGGGACGAGGACCAUGUCUGGUGGGUAGUUUGACUGGGGCGGUCUCCUCCUAAAGAGUAACGGAGGAGUACGAAGGUGCGCUCAGCGUGGUCGGAAAUCACGCGUAGAGUAUAAAGGCAAAAGCGCGCUUAACUGCGAGACCCACAAGUCGAGCAGGUACGAAAGUAGGUCUUAGUGAUCCGGUGGUUCUGUAUGGAAGGGCCAUCGCUCAACGGAUAAAAGGUACUCUGGGGAUAACAGGCUGAUACCGCCCAAGAGUUCAUAUCGACGGCGGUGUUU